CGCAAGGAAUUUUUUACAUUUUUGGAAUUAAUAAGUAUGUCAUUUUCACUUGAGCCAUUUAUUUCUCUCCGAUUUCCGAUGAUUUAAUCGUUAAUGAAGGCACAAGAUUAAUAUCAUUAAGGUUACUGUAAACAACGGGGUCCACGGUUUCCGCGAAGCCAAUGGAAUGGGACUAGGCAUUCUUAAUGCAUUUAGCGUGGAAUGUGACUCCUACGUUCACUAGAUCGACCGACACUACGCUACAACUCGCCUGCGAAGGCUCGUUUCAACGGACGUUAACUGGCUACAAUGUGACCCGCUACAAUGUAGCCUUUAAGAGUACAAAACUGAGCCUCGUAACUGGCGAUACGAUCGUUAUUUAAUAAUUUACAGCUGGGUGGUCUACUUAUAUGUAAGUCGUGCAAGUCAAGAUGAAAAUCGAUUACAGGUUUUACAAGGGCUCCAUGUUUGGUGAAAAGGGUAGUAGGUUAAUUGGGGUGAGAAGGAUCACAAACUGGUUAUGGAAAAAGAAAUUGUGAUCUGAUUGCGAUAUGCUAAUUGACAAAUGACUCUGAUGGAAGUGAUCACAAUAUAAUUCUGAAAGGCUGAAGAAUAAUCGGACUUUAAGCAAAGUAAUCACAGAUAUAUCGUGACAUACUAAUAUGUUUGCAAUGUAAUUUUAAUGGAACAGUUAACAUAACACACUCGAGCACAGUAUAAUGGAAUUUUGUCAUAAAAACACACUGAACUGAAAGGAGACUCGUACUAUACACAAAAUUCUGUUGAAAACCCUUAAGCUCAAGUAAAGACAGAUUCUACGAAAAAUAGGAAAAUGGUCCAGGAAACCUAAUCGUGACGACUCGAGUCCGGAUUACUCGGAAUGUUCAACAGUAUAGGUUUAACGGUAAAAGCGGAUAAGCGGCUCAUCCGUUGGGUUGUACGAUUCCUUAAAUGAUGACGAAACGUCGGGAAUCUUUCUUGGUGCACCGCGUGUGCACGGUCACGAUCAGGAAUGUCCUUUUGCGAGCUGACGUUCGCGUGCCUUCGAUCCACAUUCCGCAGUCCUGCCAAGAAUGCGCGUCACCAGUUGUAAACGAUGCCGUAGGAAAACCGCUAUGCGGCCCGACUUAAACAGACUUGCAAACAAGAAGAGAAGAAAUAGGAAGGAAAGGUCUAGUGGAUGAAAAUUGCUAGUGAAUUUAAAACAUGCUGCCCUCUUUAGUCCCUCUUCUUCGACGGCGGUGAUUGAGUAUGAUCGUUUUCACUUAGAUGGCGCUAAUUCAGCACAAUCAUUUCUCUUGGAAUGGAGCCGUGAGGUUACAACGGAUAAUCCUAAGGCAAUUGUCGAUGAGAUCUUUGAUUCAAAGUAUGACUAAUUAAACAAGUAAAAAGAGAAGGCUGGAAUACAGAAUAUCUUGAAAGAAACAAAAGAAGGUGUACGAUGAAAAAAGGUUCCUAAAAGCCGCGCAGAGCACAAGGUUGAUCGAAGAGCCUUCAACAAUACCCAGAGGAUACAUCACGAUGAAAUGAAUAAAUCAACUUUCGUAAUGAUGAACCUACCGAGGAACGCUAUCCCAGUCCCUAACCAGCAAUUCCGCAACAUUUCGUUCCUGACCAAUGGCAAUGCAACAAAUUGAAGAUGAUACUGCUAUAGCGGACUUAAAAUGAAGAUGAUUUUCUUCUUGAAAACUUCAAAGUCUAUCCAGCUUAGCCACGGGUUUAAAAAAUUGGCUUUCGAUAUUACUCAUCGCCGUGCAUUUUACAAGUUAGUAUUUGCCACGGUACGAAACCGUUGAAAAAUUGUAAACUGCCUGAGUGUUUUAGAGGUUAUGUCCAAGAAGCGUAAUUUCAUUGCAACGGGAUAUGAAACAGUAUCGAACAACGCAUCGAACAGCUGGCCAACGAUAACCGAACGAGAAAUUUAGCGACGAGGUAGAUAUUUGUUAGGAGGUUGGGGCCGCGUCCUUUCGGUUUUACGAUCGUUUCGCGAUGUUGAUGGCCCACUGGCCAUUUCGUGAGUAGCUGUCUCGUGAUUUCUACGAGGGAACUACUCUGGCAGAAUCGUAAAUAUAGGGAAACUGCCAUAGCAAGGGCGAAACGGAAAAGAGUGUACAGGGCGUUUUAGAAUCAUGACCACUUAUUUAUCUACCUACAUUAACGUUCCUUUGUCUUCUAGUCAUGUAUUCGCUAUUGUUUGUACUUCUUUGUACUUUUAAAACAUCUUAGCAUCUCCCCAUGUUUGAAACACCCUGUACAACGAAUGAUAGAUAUACGAUCACGAUCACGAUGCAACGCCGAUAAUUUCUUGUAAAUCGAGUAUCUAAUUUUUACACAGCAUGUAUGAUAUUCUUAUAUAUAACUUUUGAAACGCCCUGUAGAAUUUAACCCCUGUGCACCGCCAAUGCGAUUCAACGUUUGAUUCUUGGAACGUACCAUGUAUGUUAUAUUUCUAAGCAGAUUGCAAGCGAUAUGGAUAAUACUUCUGAAUCACCCUGUACAUUUUCGUGCAAUCCCGUGUGACCAGAAUUUUGUAGCAUCUUGUACUGCUUUCUCUGGCGGGUGCUAAAAAGAGAAACCUGGGAAAUGCAUACGAGGUCACCGGCAUAAAAUCGUGGUUAACUUAAAAACCGAAUAUUUAUGAACCCCGUCGGCCAUUAAUACCGAUUGUUUAUAGGGCAAUGCGUACACGCGAAGGAACCGUGGACGUAACCUCGAAUUAUCGAAUUAUUAUUCAAUCUAACGCCAAUCUUAAUUUUUAAUCACCGCCUCGAGGAUAUUUUACUCGCCUGCGUUACGAAUGUAUUCGACACGGGAAUUUUUGUCAAGAAAUAAAUCGUACCGUACUCGAGGAGCGCAUUGUACACCGGAUACAUCACGGUAUGCCGGAAGAGGACGAGUUCCAACGAUAAUUGUUUUCACCGUAAAAUCGAACAUGACUCACGAUCAAGUCACGCAUCCUACGUGAAUCCUGCAAUUCAUUAUACAAUUACCAGUGACAUCAUCAAUUUCGUUUCCAAAAAGCACAGAGGCUUCUUUCAAGCGCUCAAUCAAGACUUUCGACGAACUCGAAUCAUCGUCGAAAAUAAAGCAGCGUGCUCAGACUCGUGCCUCGAUUCAUUCACAAGUAACUGCACAAAAUUUCUCGCAAAUUAUUAUUCCGAUCUUUGUACCGUGUCCCCAUUCCAAUUACUCCAGCGACAUUAACUCGCCUACUGAUAACACCCGAUCGUUCCAAUUAAUUGUUUAUCGGAUUCGUGUCUUAUCGCGGUCUCGAAACGAAGGUUAUCGUACGGUUAUUCGGAUUAUUUUCCUCUCGCCAUUUUUAAAUAUGUAACCCGCGACGCGCUCGCUCCGA
RNAcentral lists this long non-coding RNA (3334 nucleotides) under Eufriesea mexicana. RNAcentral describes it as "uncharacterized LOC108552915". The record is from RNAcentral. Lineage: Eukaryota; Metazoa; Arthropoda; Insecta; Hymenoptera; Apidae.